This 486-nucleotide ribosomal RNA is filed under the name uncultured bacterium. Its description in RNAcentral is "partial 16S ribosomal RNA". It matches the Rfam family "Bacterial small subunit ribosomal RNA", at positions 29 to 507 of the family's 1533-position model. The record is from RNAcentral.
AUUGAACGCUGGCGGCAUGCCUUACACAUGCAAGUCGAACGGCAGCACGGGUGCUUGCACCUGGUGGCGAGUGGCGAACGGGUGAGUAAUACAUCGGAACAUGUCCUGUAGUGGGGGAUAGCCCGGCGAAAGCCGGAUUAAUACCGCAUACGAUCUACGGAUGAAAGCGGGGGACCUGCGGGCCUCGCGCUAUAGGGUUGGCCUAUGGCUGAUUAGCUAGUUGGUGGGGUAAAGGCCUACCAAGGCGACGAUCAGUAGCUGGUCUGAGAGGACGACCAGCCACACUGGGACGGAGACAGGGCCCAGACUCCUAAGGGAGGCAGCAGUGGGGAAUUUUGGACAAUGGGCGAAAGCCUGAUCCAGCAAUGCCGAGUGUGUGAAGAAGGCCUUCGGGUUGUAAAGCACGUUUGUCCGGAAAGAAAUCCUUGGCCCUAAUACGGUCGGGGGAUGACGGUACCGGAAGAAUAAGCACCGGCUAACUACGUG